GUCUCCUUUAAGAUUUCUUCUUAUUUUUAUAUGCCUGGUUGUGCUUUUCUUUUUAAUCAUCAUGCUUGGGCUUCCACAUACAUCAUGGAUCUGUCAUUUAUUGUCUUUCAUUAGUUUUAGUAAAUUCUUAGUUAUUGUCUCUUCACAUAUUUUCUAGGCCCUGUUAUUUCUCUUUAUUGCUUCCGGGACUCCAAUCAAACAUAUGCUACACUUUCAAUAAUGUCCUAUGUAUGGCUCUUGGAUCAACUUUUGGAUCGGAUCUUUCCACUAUUUACUUCUCCUUUUUAAAAUUAGUAUUGCCAUAUUUAUAUUGCACUUUGGGGCUAGUUUUCAUGAAGAAAGAUGAAACAAUGCAUGGGAUGUAAUGGGGCAUAACCCAAGUGUGCUGUGAAAGGGAACAAAUAAGAAGGAAUAUUGCUUGAGGUCGGCAUCUGAUGUGUUCAUUAUUCCUAGAUCUGUGAGGUAAGCUGACAGGUUGAAUCGUUUGCCUCAUGGAGUACCAAGUGAACCUUCCUAAGAUGGACAAGUAAAAGAGUA
Molecule: long non-coding RNA, 537 nt
Filed under: Felis catus (domestic cat)
Lineage: Eukaryota; Metazoa; Chordata; Mammalia; Carnivora; Felidae
Description: lncRNA (ENSFCAG00000045104.2)
Source: RNAcentral